UGGGGAAUUUUGCGCAAUGGGCGAAAGCCUGACGCAGCAACGCCGCGUGCGGGAAGAAGGCCCUCGGGUUGUAAACCGCUUUCGGCAGGAACGAAAUUGACGGUACCUGCAGAAGAAGCCCCGGCCAACUACGUGCCAGCAGCCGCGGUAAUACGUAGGGGGCGAGCGUUGUCCGGAUUCAUUGGGCGUAAAGAGCUCGUAGGCGGUUCGGUAAGUCAGAUGUGAAAACUCCAGGCUCAACUUGGAGACGCCAUCUGAUACUGUCGUGACUAGAGUCCGGUAGGGGAGCACGGAAUUCCUGGUGUAGCGGUGAAAUGCGCAGAUAUCAGGAGGAACACCAGCGGCGAAGGCGGUGCUCUGGGCCGGAACUGACGCUGAGGAGCGAAAGCGUGGGUAGCGA
RNAcentral lists this ribosomal RNA (400 nucleotides) under uncultured bacterium. RNAcentral's name for it is "bacterial SSU rRNA". It matches the Rfam family "Bacterial small subunit ribosomal RNA", at positions 355 to 771 of the family's 1533-position model. The record is from RNAcentral.